GCUACUUUAGGUUAUGAUGUAAACUCUAAACCUUCAAAGUUUAAAAAGUCUAGGGGACAAGUGGUG
Molecule: transfer RNA, 66 nt
Filed under: Phallusia fumigata
Lineage: Eukaryota; Metazoa; Chordata; Ascidiacea; Phlebobranchia; Ascidiidae
Description: transfer RNA-Trp
Source: RNAcentral